UCCAUUGCAGUUCACGGCGAACACUACCGUUUCCCUUCCCCGCGUCUGAUUCUCGGGAGAUCACCGGCGCCGCCACAUUUGUUUACACAUCGAUCUUUUUCGUUCAAUCAAGGUUGCCCAGCAGUGUACCACCCAUGGAGGUCACGGGAAAAAUGCCGGCAAGGGUGAAGAGGAUUCAGUUUGUGGACUCGCAAAACGACUGUGUGGUCAUGUUGCCACAAACCGUGGCCAGCAGCGGGCAAUCAUCAUCAAUGGCGUGUGGCGAUGAUGCACAGAGGAAGCCCAAAUGGAGACGGCGCGCUUCGUUGUCUGGUGACGGCGAAUAGACGAUGACGUAUCGGAGUCAAAGCGGCCCAACUUGACAUGCUGCAGCACCACAAUAUUGUAUGACGCUUGCCGUGCGUUAUUUGUCACGCAACAUGAUAAACUGGAGUAGAUUGGACUUUUACGCCAUGGCGUCCAUGAGCCUAGGUAGCCUUGAAAAGCUUGACAUCAUACGAUGGCUGAUGGAAUACGAUCGCUAAUGGAUAACACCGACCCAUCGAGAGCAUAUCUAUUCCGAUAACGAGCUAUACCUUCACUCACAUUUUGGUGCUAAACCAUAUCAGCAACCUACCAUAUAAACCAUUUUUAUCUAAAUUCAUAAUCAUGU
This is a long non-coding RNA of Oryza brachyantha (malo sina), 652 nucleotides long. RefSeq lists it as uncharacterized. NCBI's taxonomy places the organism in Eukaryota, Viridiplantae, Streptophyta, Magnoliopsida, Poales, Poaceae. The transcript is spliced from 3 exons. The record is from RefSeq and is a predicted model, not a curated record.